GAUCCUGGCUCAGAACGAACGCUGGCGGCAUGCUUAACACAUGCAAGUCGAACGGGCCCUUUCGGGGGUCAGUGGCGCACGGGUGAGUAACGCGUGGGAACCUGUCAUGGAGUGGGGAACAACCGCUGGAAACGGCGGCUAAUACCGCAUGAGCCCUGAGGGGCAAAGGCCGCAAGGCCGCUUUGUGAGGGGCCCGCGUCCGAUUAGCUAGUUGGUGGGGUAAUGGCCUACCAAGGCUGCGAUCGGUAGCUGGU
This 254-nucleotide ribosomal RNA is filed under the name uncultured bacterium. RNAcentral's name for it is "partial 16S ribosomal RNA". It matches the Rfam family "Bacterial small subunit ribosomal RNA", at positions 15 to 291 of the family's 1533-position model. The record is from RNAcentral.